Mytilus californianus (California mussel) is the source of this 752-nucleotide long non-coding RNA. RefSeq lists it as uncharacterized. The record is from RefSeq and is a predicted model, not a curated record. The transcript has 3 exons. Lineage: Eukaryota; Metazoa; Mollusca; Bivalvia; Mytilida; Mytilidae.
AAGGGCGCUAUGUUCAAAAAAUCUGAAACUGGAGCUCAAAAUUUGAAAAAAAAAUGUAAAAAACAGGGGCGUUGGCCUAUUCCAUGGCUUCUAGAGAAAAAUAAUGAGGGAUGUCACGGGGUAUGACUAUAUAGGUCUUGUAGAGGAGAAACAGGCGCAUCUUUUGCGCAAGGUAUCGAAGGGCGCUAUGUUCAAAAAUCUGAAACUGGAGCUCAAAAUUUGAAAAAAAAUUGUUAAAAACAGGGGGGUUGGCCUAUUCCAUGGCUUCUAGAGAAAAAUAAUGAGGGGUGUCACGGGGUAUGACUAUAUAGGUCUUGUAGAGGAGAAACAGGCGCAUCUUUUGCGCAAGGUAUCGAAGGGCGCUAUGUUCAAAAAUCUGAAACUGGAGCUCAAAAUUUGAAAAAAAAUUGUUAAAAACAGGGGGGUUGGCCUAUUCCAUGGCUUCUAGAGAAAAAUAAUGAGGGGUGUCACGGGGUAUGACUAUAUAGGUCUUGUAGAGGAGAAACAGGCGCAUCUUUUGCGCAAGGUAUCGAAGGGCGCUAUGUUCAAAAAUCUGAAACUGGAGCUCAAAAUUUGAAAAAAAAUUGUUAAAAACAGGGGGGUUGGCCUAUUCCAUGGCUUCUAGAGAAAAAUAAUGAGGGGUGUCACGGGGUAUGACUAUAUAGGUCUUGUAGAGGAGAAACAGGCGCAUCUUUUGCGCAAGGUAUUGAAGGGUGCUAUGUUCAAAAAUCUGAAACUAGGGCUCAAAAUUU